GGAGAAAUGAACUUAAUGAAGUCGGCCCUCCUUAUCUGCGGAUUCCACAUGCGCGAAUUCAACCAUCUGUGGAUCGCGAAACCCGGAAGUGCUCUUCCAGCACUUGUUGUUUGAGCAUGUUGUCAGCAAGGAAUAAAUCAAUAUAUG
Hypanus sabinus (Atlantic stingray) is the source of this 147-nucleotide long non-coding RNA. RefSeq lists it as uncharacterized. The transcript is spliced from 3 exons. NCBI's taxonomy places the organism in Eukaryota, Metazoa, Chordata, Chondrichthyes, Myliobatiformes, Dasyatidae. The record is from RefSeq and is a predicted model, not a curated record.